UGAGUUUGAUCCUGGCUCAGGAUGAACGCUGACAGAAUGCUUAACACAUGCAAGUCAACUUGAUCUACUUCGGUAGUGAUGGUGGCGGACGGGUGAGUAACGCGUAAAGAAUCUGCCCUUUAGCCUGGGAUAACGUUUGGAAACGAACGCUAAUACCGGAUAUUAUGAAGAUGUCGCAUGACAACUUUAUGAAAGCUAUAUGCGCUAGAGGGGGACUUUGCGUCCCAUUAGCUAGUUGGUGAGGUAACGGCUCACCAAGGCGACGAUGGGUAGCCGGCCUGAGAGGGUGAUCGGCCACAAGGGAACUGAGACACGGUCCUUACUCCUACGGGAGGCAGCAGUGGGGAAUAUUGGACAAUGGGCCACAAGCCUGAUCCAGCAAUUCUGUGUGCACGAUGAAGGUCUUCGGACUGUAAAGUGCUUUCAGUAGGGAAGAAAAAAAUGACGGUACCUACAGAAGAAGCGACGGCUAAAUAUGUGCCAGCAGCCGCGGUAAUACAUAUGUCGCAAGCGUUAUCCGGAUUUAUUGGGCGUAAAGCGCGUCUAGGCGGUUUACUAAGUCUGAUGUGAAAAUGCGGGGCUCAACUCCGUAUUGCGUUGGAAACUGGUAGACUAGAGUACUGGAGAGGUGGGCGGAACUACAAGUGUAGAGGUGGAAUUCGUAGAUAUUUGUAGGAAUGCCGAUGGAGAAGUCAGCUCACUGGACAGAUACUGACGCUAAAGUGCGAAAGCGUGGGGAGCAAACAGGAUUAGAUACCCUGGUAGUCCACGCCGUAAACGAUGAUCACUAGGUGUUGGGGGUCGAACCUCAGCGCCCAAGCUAACGCGAUAAGUGAUCCGCCUGGGGAGUACGCACGCAAGUGUGAAACUCAAAUGAAUUGACGG
This 885-nucleotide ribosomal RNA is filed under the name uncultured bacterium. RNAcentral's name for it is "bacterial SSU rRNA". It matches the Rfam family "Bacterial small subunit ribosomal RNA", at positions 1 to 916 of the family's 1533-position model. The record is from RNAcentral.